UCCUCGUUAGUAUAGUGGUGAGUAUCCCCGCCUGUCACGCGGGCUACCGGGGUUCGAUUCCCCCACGGGGAG
Ciona savignyi (Pacific transparent sea squirt) is the source of this 72-nucleotide non-coding RNA. The record is from Rfam. NCBI's taxonomy places the organism in Eukaryota, Metazoa, Chordata, Ascidiacea, Phlebobranchia, Cionidae.